RNAcentral lists this ribosomal RNA (251 nucleotides) under uncultured bacterium. Its description in RNAcentral is "partial 16S ribosomal RNA". It matches the Rfam family "Bacterial small subunit ribosomal RNA", at positions 524 to 776 of the family's 1533-position model. The record is from RNAcentral.
UACGAAGGGGGCUAGCGUUGCUCGGAAUCACUGGGCGUAAAGGGUGCGUAGGCGGGUUUUAAGUCAGGGGUGAAAUCCUGGAGCUCAACUCCAGAACUGCCUUUGAUACUGAAGAUCUUGAGUUCGGGAGAGGUGAGUGGAACUGCGAGUGUAGAGGUGAAAUUCGUAGAUAUUCGCAAGAACACCAGUGGCGAAGGCGGCUCACUGGCCCGAUACUGACGCUGAGGCACGAAAGCGUGGGAGCAAACAGG